CUACCAAAAGUUAAUUUUUUAUGGGGAAGGCUUUCUAAAUAACCUUUACCAAUUUGGGCUAUUUGGGAGAGAGAGUAAAGGAAAGACCACACUCCACAGCGGGCUACACCAAUAGUUCACUACUAUUUUGUGGUCUACAUU
Pan paniscus (pygmy chimpanzee) is the source of this 141-nucleotide small nucleolar RNA. The record is from Ensembl. Lineage: Eukaryota; Metazoa; Chordata; Mammalia; Primates; Hominidae.